UCUCUAAAGUUACAUACGUAUGACGCACACCUUUAAUAUUUUUGAUAUUUAAUAAAAUAAGCAAUUAAAUCAUAUGUAAAUUAGAUAUGAAUUUCACUACAGAAUGGGCUCAUACACAAAAUAUGCCAUUAUUUGAAGCUCAAUAGCAUUUGAAGGGAAUGACUUACAGUCAGGGCGCAUGGUGGCUUAGUGGUUAGCCUCACACCUCCAGGGUCGGGGGUUCGAUUCCCACCGUGACCAUGUGUACCCUGCCUUGUGCCUGAUGCUCCCUGGGAUAGGCUCCAGGUUUCCCCGUGACCCUGAAAAGGAGUAAGCGGUAUAGAAGAUGGAUGGAUGGACUUACAGUCAUAUAACCAACUGUAAACUGUUAAUCUAGGUAUCAGGUAUUCCACACACCUUUUAGUUUUUGAUAUUUAAUAAAUUAACUAUUAAAUCAUAUGUAAAUAUUGCCAUGUAUUUCACUACCGAAUAGUUUUUUUAAAUAUCCAUUAACUCUUAAUGGUAAAUUCUCAGCAAUUUUCCUGAGAUAGCGUGCUGAGCUCUAGACUGUUGAAACUCUUAAGAAGGGGGGAUGGGCUCAAGAGUCAAUUAAGAGUUGCAUGCUGUUAGCAGACUGCAGUAGGCAUCAUGGCCAGAUUUAAAAAGGGGAAACAUAAAAGAGAAAAUGACCUUUGGGCAAAGGCUGGUGGCAGAAAUCAAAUAGCUAAGGCUAUUUGUUAGACAUGGCGUUGGAAAAGGAAAGGCAAAGUGGUCCACCCUAGCUGUCUACAUUUUCAACGCCAAUCCACCGAAUGAAAAUUUGGCAAAAUGGCUGCAAACCGUUUGGACAGAGGACAGGAAAGGUGUUCGAGGACAGGUGCUUCAAACAGACAGAAGUUCUGGUAAGGCGAGUUGCUCACAGUAUGUACAGCAUGCAUAGAAACAUACAUGUUGGUUUUUCUUGAUGUUCAGAUAGGGAAAAUGUUGAGAAAGUUGAGGAAAUUGAUGAGGUGAGUGAAGGGCACAAUAAAAAUGAAACAAAGAAAAGAAUAGGUGAAGACUAUCCUUGUGACAGGGAAGAUGACAGGAACAGCACUGGUGAUAAAGAUGCAGAUGAGAAUGCUAAUAAUGAUGGCACAUGUUCAGGGCACAAUAAGCAGAACGGAACAGAGGAAAAGGGGGACAAGGAUUAUUCUUGUGACAGGGAAGUUGAGGCUGGAGACAGGAACAACACUGCAGAUGAAGAUGAGAAUGAUGAUGAGUCAGACACAGAAAACUGGAGGAAAACAAGGCCAGGUCCAAAGAUUUUUGUAGUGGCCAUAACAACAAAAAUUUGGGGAAAAAAUAAAGCCACAUGCAGGCUCAACUCAGUUACAACAGCCCUGGACAGAUGUCUUAUAUGAAGCGUUCACCAAAGUAAAUCCUUGCUGUGUCCUUUCAUUCAAGUAUCAACAUGUAAAAUGCAGGAAAAGUCGUAAAAAAAAAAAAGAAAAAAAAAAGAGCACUUUAUUUCAGGACACUUGCCGUUUGUAUCUUUGAUGAUUGCUCAGCAAAAUACAAAUUUACAAUUCGAACAAAGCCCAAACCAUUCCAGAAGCAUAUUAUUCCAGAAGCAUAUCCAUGUUAUGUGAAUGGUUGAUGUGACCCACAAGGAUAAAGAAUUGAAAUCCAGAAAUGCCAAAUUCACCAAAAGAGGAAAUAUUGCAGCAGCCAGCACUAUUAUGAAUCAUUGAGAAACACACUACCAGAUGAGAUUUUGGUUGGCAACAUCUCCAGAUGCCUUACUAUGGAUAUCUUAAGUGUAAUAUCUAGUGAAGUCAGGAAAAGCACCAGACUCCAUGAUGAUGUUAUCAUGGAGAUGAUGCUCUGCCAGAAGAUGAAGGAGUGCAGUGGAACUGCGUGACAAAUUGCAGGCUAUAUUCAACACUUACAAGUGGACCCAUUUGGUGUCCACUUGUACACAGAUUGUGGUCUGCGAAUAGUCGCAGAACAUUCGAAAAACUCACCCCCAGUCACAUUACAUCUAGAUGCUACAGGCAGUGUCAUAUCACGCAUCCCCAUCCAAACCAAAAGAAUCCUUUAUUAUGCCCUUGGUCUCCCUGGAAAGGGGAAGGAUAAGCCACCCCUUCCUGUGUCUGAGUUGAUAUCAAACAAGCACUCCAUACCAACUCUCAUGUUUUGGCAGAUGGAAACACUGAGACAACUGUGCCAGAUAACAACACGGAAGGUCCACGAGGUUGAAACCGAUUUUAGCUGGGUACUCAUUGGUAGUGUCCUCCUGGCCUUCGAUAAAGAAAGUGUCUCAUCCUAUAUAAACAGAGCACAUCUAAUUGUCAGCCAAAAAGUGAAAAGUGCAGAUGCAGUUAAUUUCACAGUGCUCCAUCUACGUUCAUCCCACAUAAUAAAGGCUGUAACUCAAGGAUUUUCAAAGACAACUGGCGAUGUAUGCUGUAAAAGAAUAUGCCACCUACUGUUUUGGCCUUCUUCUUAACAGCACCACCCUACAAGAAGCACUUAACCUCUUUCAGGAUAUGUCUAUGUUGUUCAUGUCAGCAAACAAUUCCAAUGCGGUUAUGGCAGCAAAAAACACACUGGACCAAAAAAUCCUGAAGUCCAAGCCUACUACUAUGGAUGAAAUACUUCCACCAUAUGUAGAAGACAUGGACAGGAGCAGCAACAGCAACAUCAAGACUAUAUGUGGCAAAUCUCCCUUCACACGUUUAUUCAGUGAUGAUGUAGGGAAGACCAGGUGUACACAGACAGAGAGUGUCAAAAAGAAUGAAUUCUACUGCCCAGGGAUCAUUAAUGUCCUCAUGAACAACUACAUGGCAUUUUCCCCCUUUGGAGUGGCAUACUGUUUGGGGACCUGAACAGAUCCUCCAAAGAGAAUACUAAAGAAAUAAAAAAACAAGGGAAACAAAUUGCCAUGUGGAGCAAUGGUUCUCAAUAGUGAAGAAUCACAUUUUACACAGAAAAAGGUUCCUGCGGCCUGCAGAUUUCAUUACUAAGAUGUUUAACUCUCUGCAAGGAAGGUACACACAGCAUCAGAUGAUGCAUAAUCUUGAUAGUCUGUCUCAAGGAACAUCUCCAAAGCAACAGACCAUUGAUCAACAAGAAGAGCAAUGGGCCAAGAGAUCCCAAUCUCAGAGUCCAGCAAAGCAUCGUUCAAAGUAUUUUGAUCCACCAGAAGCAGUGCCCCAACCAAAAAGACACAAGACAAAGCAAACAUCUGAGGAUCAUUCAGAGGACACAUCAGCCCAGAUCCAAGCUCUGUGGUCUAAGAAAGCAUGUGAGAUAGUCAUUGCCAUCACACAGUCAAAGGACAAAAAAGGUCUUAUAUCCUCCAUCAUUCAGAUCUGAAAACACUCCAGCCACAUAAAUGGCUGGUGGGGGAGACAAUCCAAAGCUAUUUUCAAGUGGUGGUGAAUAACAGAGACCAGGGACACAGGAUUUUUAUACUAGAUCACCACACAGUGAAUGUUAUACUUCAUGGAGAACGAGAUGAAGUACGGAGAAACGGUCUCUCAAAGGUGGACUUUGAUGACUACGAAGGAAUGAUAAGUUUCCUGAAUGUCAACGGGAAUCAUUGGAUAUUUUUGAAUACAUUUUAUAGUCCUUUUUUAAUAUACAUGAGACACUGUUACAUUACUCUAUUCUAUAGAGGAUGUUCAUAAAUUGGUUGGCUUGAAAAAUCACAUUGAAUAAAUGUUCAGAUGAGCCAAGACUAUUCAAACACCAACCAUCAAAAUUCAAAUAUAAACUAACCCGUACAAGGCCAUAUGCUUUUCACUGUGUCAACACCACACACAAGAGUCUGGAAUAGUUGAAUGAAUUAAUUCAUUCAUUCAUUCAUUUCUCCAUCCAUCCAUAAUUUUAAUUUUCAGGCCAGACCUUUUCAAACCAACCUCAAAGUUUUUCUACAAAACUUUGUUUUGUAGUUUCAUUCUAGAUUCAUCUAAUUUUUUUUAAUCUUGCACAGUAUCACCAUGCAGCAUCCAGCCAGGUGUUUGUGGUAGACCCAGCAGGACAUGAUGAAGAAGCAAAAUCCAUGCAUGCAGCCACUAGAUUUCAGUAAUAUUUUUAGCUUGUUAUAUACUGUAUUUACAAAGAUGGGUUACAAAUUAGGGGGAAAAAAGCAUGACUGCUUAGCCCCUAGUGUGAAGAGGCCCACUUCUUUUUGAUGUGUUUUCUUGUCACGGGGUAUUGAAUGGUGAAUGAUAUGCUAUGUCCUUUUCUAUCACCGGAUCUUUAGUAAAUUAAACAAAAAAUUUGAUUUUGGACCAUACUGUCAGCGCUCUACAGUAUCAUCUUGAAAAUGUAAAAAUUUAGAAAUAUAUUUUGAAAAAAUUAUGUUCUAUCCCUCCUGAGAGACUUGGUAUAGAUCUUGCAGAUCUCUGGAUACUUAACGAUUAUUUUUGUAAAAAUAAAAUGACAGGCUUUGAGUCUUUUACAUUAUGUAAGUAUACUAGUCUUCUCAUAAGGUUUUUUUUUUUUUAAUGCUGUCAAAUCCUUACAAUAAUUUUACUUAUUAACUUUUACUAUAUGUAGCAAGCAAUUCACAAUAAUUGUUAAGUGUAAAGUGAGUGAGAUAUGUAAAGACAAUAAUUACCAUAUACUACAUAUAUAGGAAAUUAGUAGGCAAUAAUGUUUUAAUGCUUAAUAUUAUCCUGUCAAUCAUUUUGAUUCGCUUAACACGAAUCGAACGAGGGGGUGUGGUCAACAGUAGGACAACCAAAGAUAGGAAAUCUACUUUUAAACUAUGGCUAGUUUUUUUUUAAUACAGUUAUAAAAAUGCCAAGAUAAGUACAUAACACAUAUUUAUUAUACUGUACAUACAUACAUACAUACAUACAUACAUACAAUGUACUACUAUAACAAAAUAAGUGUGAAGUUCAAGACAUGUGUAGAUGUUUGUAAUUAAAUCAUUUUCGUGAUGUCCCAAAUGACCAAAUAUAAUUCAGUAAUUCUAGGCAACGUGGUUCAGGAAAAAAAAUUUUUUUAUUAAAUAACAUGAAGGAGAUAAAUAAAGUGAAGGAUAUAAUGGAUGCAUGAAGGGAUGCCUGAAAUACGAUGUAUUGGUGGAUUUUAUGUGCAUUAAAUUAUAAAAACAAUUUAACGAAGCAUCUUAACGAAUAAAAGGAGAAUGCAAUGAUU
Long non-coding RNA from Ictalurus furcatus (blue catfish), 5133 nucleotides. RefSeq lists it as uncharacterized. Lineage: Eukaryota; Metazoa; Chordata; Actinopteri; Siluriformes; Ictaluridae. The transcript is spliced from 6 exons. The record is from RefSeq and is a predicted model, not a curated record.